Molecule: ribosomal RNA, 460 nt
Filed under: uncultured bacterium
Lineage: Bacteria
Description: partial 16S ribosomal RNA
Rfam family: Bacterial small subunit ribosomal RNA
Source: RNAcentral
CCUACGAGAGGCAGCAGUGAGGAAUAUUGGCCAAUGGGCGCGAGCCUGAACCAGCCAAGUAGCGUGAAGGAUGACUGCCCUACGGGUUGUAAACUUCUUUUAUAAAGGAAUAAAGUGAGGCACGUGUGCCUUUUUGUAUGUACUUUAUGAAUAAGGAUCGGCUAACUCCGUGCCAGCAGCCGAGGUAAUACGGAGGAUCCGAGCGUUAUCCGGAUUUAUUGGGUUUAAAGGGAGCGUAGAUGGGUUGUUAAGUCAGUUGUGAAAGUUUGCGGCUCAACCGUAAAAUUGCAAUUGAUACUGGCAGUCUUGAGUACAGUUGAGGUAGGCGGAAUUCGUGGUGGAGCGGUGAAAUGCUUAGAUAUCACGAAGAACUCCGAUUGCGAAGGCAGCUUACUAAACUGCCACUGACAUUGAUGCUCGAAAGUGUGGGUAUCAAACAGGAUUAGAUACCCGAGUAGUA